This 434-nucleotide ribosomal RNA is filed under the name uncultured Citrobacter sp. Its description in RNAcentral is "bacterial SSU rRNA". It matches the Rfam family "Bacterial small subunit ribosomal RNA", at positions 958 to 1392 of the family's 1533-position model. Lineage: Bacteria; Pseudomonadati; Pseudomonadota; Gammaproteobacteria; Enterobacterales; Enterobacteriaceae. The record is from RNAcentral.
AACGCGAAGAACCUUACCUACUCUUGACAUCCACGGAAUUUAGCAGAGAUGCUUUAGUGCCUUCGGGAACCGUGAGACAGGUGCUGCAUGGCUGUCGUCAGCUCGUGUUGUGGAAUGUUGGGUUAAGUCCCGCAACGAGCGCAACCCUUAUCCUUUGUUGCCAGCGAUUCGGUCGGGAACUCAAAGGAGACUGCCAGUGAUAAACUGGAGGAAGGUGGGGAUGACGUCAAGUCAUCAUGGCCCUUACGAGUAGGGCUACACACGUGCUACAAUGGCAUAUACAAAGAGAAGCGACCUCGCGAGAGCAAGCGGACCUCAUAAAGUAUGUCGUAGUCCGGAUUGGAGUCUGCAACUCGACUCCAUGAAGUCGGAAUCGCUAGUAAUCGUGGAUCAGAAUGCCACGGUGAAUACGUUCCCGGGUCUUGUACACACCG